This 76-nucleotide transfer RNA is filed under the name Acidobacteriota bacterium. RNAcentral describes it as "Acidobacteria bacterium tRNA-Leu". The record is from RNAcentral. Lineage: Bacteria; Pseudomonadati; Acidobacteriota.
GCGCCCGUAGUCCAACCGGUAGACAACCGCCUCAAAAGCGGUCGAGUGCUGGUUCGAAAUCCAGCCGGGCGCACCA